GAUAACAUCUAGUUUACCCAAAUAAGUGAAACUUGCAAAACCGCACCUCAAUAAUUACGCGGUUGUAACGCCUUUAUGACACCACUAAAUAUACAGAUUUGAAUUUUUGCAUUUUCUUAGGAUUGUUUAACUGUGUAUUUCACUGCAGGUGACGACAGUUUUAUUAGUAAUUUAAAUGAGGAAGGAAAGAAGAAAGCUAAAGAAGAGCUUAAUGAAUUAAAUGAUGUAGACAGACGGAUUGCUGUACAAACAUACAGGCAGUGGGUGGUUGACCAAGACUGGUUAAAAACUCCAACAGAUUUUGCCUUUCUUCUUCGUUUUCUAAGAGUAAGAAAGUUCAGCCAGCUUGGUGCUCGAGAAACUCUUGAAAACUACUGGAAAAGUAGGACAAAUAUUCCAGAAUGGUUUCGAAAUGUGGACCCAUCAAAUGAAAUAAUACAAGAAAUUUUUAAAACGGGAUAUUUCCAGUGUCCGAUGAAGUAUGAUAGAAAGGGACGUAGAAU
Molecule: long non-coding RNA, 503 nt
Organism: Mercenaria mercenaria
Lineage: Eukaryota; Metazoa; Mollusca; Bivalvia; Venerida; Veneridae
Exons: 3
Source: RefSeq, a predicted model, not a curated record